RNAcentral lists this ribosomal RNA (1556 nucleotides) under Staphylococcus haemolyticus. Its description in RNAcentral is "bacterial SSU rRNA". It matches the Rfam family "Bacterial small subunit ribosomal RNA". Lineage: Bacteria; Bacillati; Bacillota; Bacilli; Caryophanales; Staphylococcaceae. RNAcentral also lists the same sequence under 9 other names. The record is from RNAcentral.
UUUUAUGGAGAGUUUGAUCCUGGCUCAGGAUGAACGCUGGCGGCGUGCCUAAUACAUGCAAGUCGAGCGAACAGACAAGGAGCUUGCUCCUUUGACGUUAGCGGCGGACGGGUGAGUAACACGUGGGUAACCUACCUAUAAGACUGGGAUAACUUCGGGAAACCGGAGCUAAUACCGGAUAAUAUUUCGAACCGCAUGGUUCGAUAGUGAAAGAUGGUUUUGCUAUCACUUAUAGAUGGACCCGCGCCGUAUUAGCUAGUUGGUAAGGUAACGGCUUACCAAGGCGACGAUACGUAGCCGACCUGAGAGGGUGAUCGGCCACACUGGAACUGAGACACGGUCCAGACUCCUACGGGAGGCAGCAGUAGGGAAUCUUCCGCAAUGGGCGAAAGCCUGACGGAGCAACGCCGCGUGAGUGAUGAAGGUCUUCGGAUCGUAAAACUCUGUUAUUAGGGAAGAACAUACGUGUAAGUAACUAUGCACGUCUUGACGGUACCUAAUCAGAAAGCCACGGCUAACUACGUGCCAGCAGCCGCGGUAAUACGUAGGUGGCAAGCGUUAUCCGGAAUUAUUGGGCGUAAAGCGCGCGUAGGCGGUUUUUUAAGUCUGAUGUGAAAGCCCACGGCUCAACCGUGGAGGGUCAUUGGAAACUGGAAAACUUGAGUGCAGAAGAGGAAAGUGGAAUUCCAUGUGUAGCGGUGAAAUGCGCAGAGAUAUGGAGGAACACCAGUGGCGAAGGCGACUUUCUGGUCUGUAACUGACGCUGAUGUGCGAAAGCGUGGGGAUCAAACAGGAUUAGAUACCCUGGUAGUCCACGCCGUAAACGAUGAGUGCUAAGUGUUAGGGGGUUUCCGCCCCUUAGUGCUGCAGCUAACGCAUUAAGCACUCCGCCUGGGGAGUACGACCGCAAGGUUGAAACUCAAAGGAAUUGACGGGGACCCGCACAAGCGGUGGAGCAUGUGGUUUAAUUCGAAGCAACGCGAAGAACCUUACCAAAUCUUGACAUCCUUUGACAACUCUAGAGAUAGAGCCUUCCCCUUCGGGGGACAAAGUGACAGGUGGUGCAUGGUUGUCGUCAGCUCGUGUCGUGAGAUGUUGGGUUAAGUCCCGCAACGAGCGCAACCCUUAAGCUUAGUUGCCAUCAUUAAGUUGGGCACUCUAAGUUGACUGCCGGUGACAAACCGGAGGAAGGUGGGGAUGACGUCAAAUCAUCAUGCCCCUUAUGAUUUGGGCUACACACGUGCUACAAUGGACAAUACAAAGGGCAGCGAAACCGCGAGGUCAAGCAAAUCCCAUAAAGUUGUUCUCAGUUCGGAUUGUAGUCUGCAACUCGACUACAUGAAGCUGGAAUCGCUAGUAAUCGUAGAUCAGCAUGCUACGGUGAAUACGUUCCCGGGUCUUGUACACACCGCCCGUCACACCACGAGAGUUUGUAACACCCGAAGCCGGUGGAGUAACCAUUUGGAGCUAGCCGUCGAAGGUGGGACAAAUGAUUGGGGUGAAGUCGUAACAAGGUAGCCGUAUCGGAAGGUGCGGCUGGAUCACCUCCUUUCUAA